This 506-nucleotide ribosomal RNA is filed under the name uncultured bacterium. RNAcentral describes it as "partial 16S ribosomal RNA". It matches the Rfam family "Bacterial small subunit ribosomal RNA", at positions 29 to 523 of the family's 1533-position model. The record is from RNAcentral.
AGUGAACGCUGGCGGUAGGCCUAACACAUGCAAGUCGAACGGCAGCACAGGAGAGCUUGCUCUCUGGGUGGCGAGUGGCGGACGGGUGAGGAAUACAUCGGAAUCUACUCUGUCGUGGGGGAUAACGUAGGGAAACUUUCGCUAAUACCGCAUACGACCUACGGGUGAAAGCAGGGGACCUUCGGGCCUUGCGCGAUUGAAUGAGCCGAUGUCAGAUUAGCUAGUUGGCGGGGUAAAGGCCCACCAAGGCGACGAUCCGUAGCUGGUCUGAGAGGAUGAUCUGCCAGACUGGAACUGAGACACGGUCCAGACUCCUACGGGAGGCAGCAGUGGGGAAUAUUGGACAAUGGGCGCAAGCCUGAUCCAGCCAUACCGCGUGGGUGAAGAAGGCCUUCGGGUUGUAAAGCCCUUUUGUUGGGAAAGAAAUCCAGCUGGCUAAUACCCGGUUGGGAUGACGGUACCCAAAGAAUAAGCACCGGCUAACUUCGUGCCAGCCGCCGCCGUAA